CAGUCGCCGCGGUAAUACGUAGGGUGCAAGCGUUAAUCGGAAUUACUGGGCGUAAAGCGUGCGCAGGCGGUUUGUUAAGACAGAUGUGAAACCCCCGGGCUCAACCUGGGAACUGCAUUUGUGACUGGCAGGCUAGAGUAUGGCAGAGGGGGGUGGAAUUCCGCGUGUAGCAGUGAAAUGCGUAGAUAUGCGGAGGAACACCGAUGGCGAAGGCAGCCCCCUGGGCCAAUACUGACGCUCAUGCACGAAAGCGUGGGGAGCAAACAGGAUUAGAUACCCGAGUAGUCCCUGUCUCUUAUAC
RNAcentral lists this ribosomal RNA (301 nucleotides) under uncultured bacterium. Its description in RNAcentral is "partial 16S ribosomal RNA". It matches the Rfam family "Bacterial small subunit ribosomal RNA", at positions 509 to 807 of the family's 1533-position model. The record is from RNAcentral.